Molecule: non-coding RNA, 72 nt
Organism: Mus musculus (house mouse)
Lineage: Eukaryota; Metazoa; Chordata; Mammalia; Rodentia; Muridae
Source: Rfam
UUGUCAGUCAGGCUUCUGGCUGGAGUCCAGCUCUCAACUGGAUCCAGUCUCUAGCUGGGGCAUGACUACAAU